Non-coding RNA from Paramuricea clavata, 1129 nucleotides. The record is from the annotation of a GenBank genome assembly. Lineage: Eukaryota; Metazoa; Cnidaria; Anthozoa; Malacalcyonacea; Plexauridae.
CGGGAAUUUACUUUUUUUUGUCUAAAUCAAAAAUUAAUCUAACAUGCAAGUUGUCUAUUAUCCUCUGACAUUGGUAACAUCCACCGAUCUCAAAGCUACGACUGAAUAGUGACAAUGAAGUCAAUGGUCUGACCACCGCACAUCUACAGUGACAUGUUAGAAGAGAUUCUUAAAGUUUCUGCAUAUCAUUGGUAUAAGAAUAAAAAAAAUAUUGCCUAUAGUCUAUACAAAGAAUUUGGUUAUUUGCAAGCGCCGUUUUUGUCAACACGGACGUCACUAAUGUACCGUAAUUUGUACAAUUUUUCAAUAAUAUGUUCGUAAAUUUAUCAAAAUUUUCCCUACAACUAUUACUUUUCAAUAAAUUAUGUACAAUUGUUUGCUCAAAUACAUGUUUUUUAAUUGUUAAAAUUGUUAAACUUGCCCGACGAAACUGCAAUAAUACAAUAUUGGGGGUGUCCCCCCUCCCCAAAUCCCCCUGUAGUUACGCCCUGGUUUUGUCGUAUGCAUGUGUUGAAAAUUACCACAAACUGACACAAAUACAGUUUUUAGCCCCCCCCCCCGUAAUCUGCAUGACAAAAACGUCGCUUGCUUAAGCCCACUACUAUCUCGUGUUUAAAACGAUCUAGAACUCAUCAGAAGAGGAGUGGGAAGAAAUAUCUUUCAAGUUUCAUAGAAGAUACUUUCUUGAUAGUAUCAUUAAUUUAAACACGUCACAAUUUGAUUCGUAACGAAUGAGACAGACUUAAAAAUCUCUCCUCGUAAAUAUUCUGGCUUCAAAAUUAAUUCCCUGAAUUCGAAUGGUUGCUCUUUCCAUUGUUAGAUCUUGCGAUCAGUGGUAAUAAAAUAACAGAAAGCAUGUUCACUGUUACUCACAGUCGCUUCCUGUCCUAUUGUUUUCUGCCCGAAUCUACACGUUCUACCUUUUUCUUCUCAACAUUUUCUGCCAGCAUCGAGAGUUUCGCCAUUUCAGAAUGAAGUGACUGAAUUUUGUCAGGAACGUAGUGUAACCGAUUCUAGAAUAGAAAUCACAUAUGCAACACAUAACAAGAAACAAUUAAAACUAAAACCAACUUCUGCAUUGACGAAUUGAGUAAUUUAACAAUUCAACUAGGCACAAUUAGUUGCCAGA